AAUGCCCGCAAGGGUGACCCAGCAACGCCGCGUGGAGGAUGAAUGCCGUAAGGUUGUAAACUCCUGUUAGAGGGGACGAAUGAUUCCGAUUGUAUCGGAAGUUGACUGUACCCUCAGAGAAAGCCCCGGCUAACUACGUGCCAGCAGCCGCGGUAAUACGUAGGGGGCAAGCGUUGUCCGGAUUUACUGGGUGUAAAGGGCGCGCAGGUGGGCUUGAUAGUUAGAGGUGAAAUCCUGUGGCUUAACUGCAGAACUGCCUUUAAUACUUCAAGUCUUGAGUGCGGAAGAGAGAGACGGAAUUCCAGGUGUAGUAGUGAAAUACGUAGAUAUCUGGAAGAACACCAGUUGCGAAGGCGGUCUCUUGGUCCGUAACUGACACUUAGGCGCGAAAGCGUGGGGAGCAAA
Molecule: ribosomal RNA, 405 nt
Filed under: uncultured bacterium
Lineage: Bacteria
Description: bacterial SSU rRNA
Rfam family: Bacterial small subunit ribosomal RNA
Source: RNAcentral